Molecule: long non-coding RNA, 486 nt
Organism: Sitophilus oryzae (rice weevil)
Lineage: Eukaryota; Metazoa; Arthropoda; Insecta; Coleoptera; Curculionidae
Exons: 2
Source: RefSeq, a predicted model, not a curated record
UUGCUCAUAGAAAUUGAUAAUAUACUAUUUUAUAUUCACUCGUUCAAGUGCUGAUCUAUUUUUAAAUUGAAUAUUUAUGUAAGUAUUAUGUAUAACACGAUAUAAAUAAUUUAAGGACAUAAGAAAUUAAAAUUUCAAGUGCCAAUAUUGAUUAUUUUUCCAGUUUUAUUCAAAUAUAUUGAAAUUAAUAUGGAAACAAAAGUUCAUAAAUAUUAUUCUUAAUAACAAGAAUUGAGAUUUGGGGAUAAGUUUGAAAAGCCAUGUCAGAAGAGUAGGAUUAAAGACAAAGUAUUAAGAGUAAUUGGGCUGUUCCUGAACAAUAUUGAAUAUAAAUAUUCAAAAAUAUGAUAAACUGCAUAUCCUACUAAGUAGAUCAAUACCAAAAUUCCAUUAGAGAAAUAAGUUAAAAUUAUGUUUUACUUGUAUAAUUUUCUUGCUAUUUGUCCACCAUUAUUUGUGACUUAGAAAUUAAAUAGUCAAAAAGAA